RNAcentral lists this ribosomal RNA (253 nucleotides) under uncultured bacterium. RNAcentral describes it as "partial 16S ribosomal RNA". It matches the Rfam family "Bacterial small subunit ribosomal RNA", at positions 524 to 776 of the family's 1533-position model. The record is from RNAcentral.
UACGUAGGGUGCAAGCGUUGUCCGGAAUUAUUGGGCGUAAAGAGCUCGUAGGCGGUUUGUCGCGUCUGCUGUGAAAACCCGAGGCUCAACCUCGGGCCUGCAGUGGGUACGGGCAGGCUAGAGUGCGGUAGGGGAGAUUGGAAUUCCUGGUGUAGCGGUGGAAUGCGCAGAUAUCAGGAGGAACACCAAUGGCGAAGGCAGAUCUCUGGGCCGUAACUGACGCUGAGGAGCGAAAGCAUGGGGAGCGAACAGG